CUCCAUUUUAAGCCGACCGAUGUUGAACAUGUGAUAAUAAUAAUUGUAACGAACGCGGUUUCGUAGCUUUUUGGCCCAGGAGACUAAUAUAUGGGUCUCAAACUGGACUGAACCGGUUGCUUCACGACGAUGGACAUGAUGAUGAUGAUGAUGAUGAUGAUGAUGGACUGGUGUGUCUGGGAUGUGAACAUGAUGUAGCCUCCAGAGUAAGUGUUUCAGAGGCCGCGAGCUGUGAGGCAGAAGUCCAGAAAACCCUCCUCUUUUGA
RNAcentral lists this long non-coding RNA (266 nucleotides) under Scleropages formosus (Asian bonytongue). RNAcentral's name for it is "lncRNA (ENSSFOG00015025391.1)". Lineage: Eukaryota; Metazoa; Chordata; Actinopteri; Osteoglossiformes; Osteoglossidae. The record is from RNAcentral.